AUACUUACCUGGCAGGGGAGAUACCAUGAUCACGAAGGUGUUUUUCCUAAGGCCAAGCUUAUCCAUUGCACUCCGGAUGUAUUGACCCCUACGAUUUCCCCAAAUGUGGGAAACUUGACUGCAUAAUUUGUGGUAGUGGGGGACUGCGUUCGCACUUUCCCCUG
Aotus nancymaae (Ma's night monkey) is the source of this 164-nucleotide small nuclear RNA. Its record names the gene U1. It matches the Rfam family "U1 spliceosomal RNA". Rfam says of the family: U1 is a small nuclear RNA (snRNA) component of the spliceosome (involved in pre-mRNA splicing). Its 5' end forms complementary base pairs with the 5' splice junction, thus defining the 5' donor site of an intron. NCBI's taxonomy places the organism in Eukaryota, Metazoa, Chordata, Mammalia, Primates, Aotidae. The record is from Ensembl.